AUUGAACGCUGGCGGCAUGCCUUACACAUGCAAGUCGAACGGCAGCACGGGAGCAAUCCUGGUGGCGAGUGGCGAACGGGUGAGUAAAGUAUCGGAACGUGCCCAGUCGUGGGGGAUAACGUAGCGAAAGUUACGCUAAUACCGCAUACGACCUAUGGAUGAAAGCGGGGGAUCGCAAGACCCCGCGCGAUUGGAGCGGCCGAUAUCAGAUUAGGUAGUUGGUGGGGUAAGGGCUCACCAAGCCGACGAUCUGUAGCUGGUCUGAGAGGACGACCAGCCACACUGGGACUGAGACACGGCCCAGACUCCUACGGGAGGCAGCAGUGGGGAAUUUUGGACAAUGGGCGAAAGCCUGAUCCAGCCAUGCCGCGUGCAGGAUGAAGGCCUUCGGGUUGUAAACUGCUUUUGUACGGAACGAAAAGGUUUGGCCUAAUAAGCUGAGCUCAUGACGGUACCGUAAGAAUAAGCACCGGCUAACUACGUGCCAGCAGCCGCCGUAA
This 500-nucleotide ribosomal RNA is filed under the name uncultured bacterium. RNAcentral's name for it is "partial 16S ribosomal RNA". It matches the Rfam family "Bacterial small subunit ribosomal RNA", at positions 30 to 523 of the family's 1533-position model. The record is from RNAcentral.